Molecule: ribosomal RNA, 1167 nt
Filed under: Borrelia sp.
Lineage: Bacteria; Pseudomonadati; Spirochaetota; Spirochaetia; Spirochaetales; Borreliaceae
Description: bacterial SSU rRNA
Rfam family: Bacterial small subunit ribosomal RNA
Source: RNAcentral
UAGCGAUACAUUCAGUGGCGAACGGGUGAGUAACGCGUAGAUGAUCUACCUAUGAGAUGGGGAUAACUAUUAGAAAUAGUAGCUAAUACCGAAUAAGGUCAGUUGAUGUGUCGAUUGAUGAAAGGAAGCCUUUAAAGCUUCGCUUGUAGAUGAGUCUGCGUCUUAUUAGCUAGUUGGUGGGGUAAAGGCCUACCAAGGCUGUGAUAAGUAACCGGCCUGAGAGGGUGAACGGUCACACUGGAACUGAGAUACGGUCCAGACUCCUACGGGAGGCAGCAGCUAAGAAUCUUCCGCAAUGGGCGAAAGCCUGACGGAGCGACACUGCGUGAAUGAUGAAGGUCGAAAGAUUGUAAAAUUCUUUUAUAAAUGAGGAAUAAUCUUUGUAGGAAAUGACAAAGAGAUGACGUUAAUUUAGGAAUAAGCCCCGGCUAAUUACGUGCCAGCAGCCGCGGUAAUACGUAAGGGGCGAGCGUUGUUCGGGAUUAUUGGGCGUAAAGGGUGAGUAGGCGGAUAUGCAAGUCUAUGUGUAAAAUACCACAGCUCAACUGUGGGUCUAUGCUGGAAACUGUGUGUCUUGAGUCUGAUAGGGGAAGUUAGAAUUCCUGGUGUAAGGGUGGAAUCUGUUGAUAUCAGGAAGAAUACCAGAGGCGAAGGCGAACUUCUGGGUCAAGACUGACGCUGAGUCACGAAAGCGUAGGGAGCAAACAGGAUUAGAUACCCUGGUAGUCUACGCUGUAAACGAUGCACACUUGGUGUUAACUGAAAGGUUGGUACCGAAGCUAACGUGUUAAGUGUGCCGCCUGGGGAGUAUGCUCGCAAGAGUGAAACUCAAAGGAAUUGACGGGGGCCCGCACAAGCGGUGGAGCAUGUGGUUUAAUUCGAUGAUACGCGAGGAACCUUACCAGGGCUUGACAUAUAUAGGAUAUGGUUAGAGAUAACUAGUCCCCGUUUGGGGUCUAUAUACAGGUGCUGCAUGGUUGUCGUCAGCUCGUGCUGUGAGGUGUUGGGUUAAGUCCCGCAACGAGCGCAACCCUUAUUGUCUGUUACCAGCAUGUAAAGAUGGGGACUCAGACGAGACUGCCGGUGAUAAGCCGGAGGAAGGUGAGGAUGACGUCAAAUCAUCAUGGCCCUUAUGUCCUGGGCUACACACGUGCUACAAUGGCCUGU